AACAACUAAGCCCCUGGCUUGCGUUGACGUCUGGUCGUCGUGACGACCGCGUCCAAACACAGUUGAGCGUCUCCACCGAGUUAGCACGUAGCAACUUACGAGUGAUCUUGGGAGCGAGACUCGCUGGUCUAAACGA
RNAcentral lists this unclassified non-coding RNA (136 nucleotides) under uncultured Ascomycota. Its description in RNAcentral is "sequence contains ITS2". Lineage: Eukaryota; Fungi; Ascomycota. The record is from RNAcentral.